Molecule: long non-coding RNA, 1587 nt
Organism: Camelus dromedarius (Arabian camel)
Lineage: Eukaryota; Metazoa; Chordata; Mammalia; Artiodactyla; Camelidae
Exons: 3
Source: RefSeq, a predicted model, not a curated record
GCGCGAAGGCAGGAGGUUGACGUCAACUGAGCCAACGCGAGGGGCCCUGAGGAGGGGUCUGGAAAAGGGGGGGAGGGUGUGUGACCCCCAAACAAAGAAGGCCCACUAACGACUCCCAAACGCAAAACCGCUGAAGAAAAAGAAAAGAAAACCCAUACAUUUGUCAAAAAUGAAAAUUCGGCAGGCAAAAACAUGUACAUCGAAGUCUACAGACAAACGAGGAGACGAGACUUUUCGCCCGGGACACACGAAAGGCGCGGGGUAACUUCCCUAAUAAACGGAGAGCUCCUGGAGGCCGAAACGGUAAAGACCUGGCCAAGGCAGGAAGGUGGGCAAAGAGGGAGAAAACCGGCAACUCACAGGAAGGUACAAACGGCUGACAGACCUCCGGGACCAAAAUCACGACCCGACUCUCGCAGGAGCGCCACAGCGAGAGCGCGGACACGCGCGCUCGGCCGGCGCUCUCCUCAGGCCGGGCCGUGGGGCGCGGAUGCGGGAGGAGACCGCGCGGCAGGACGCGGCCGGCGACCCCGCGGAGCCAGCGAGACGCGCGGGCUGGAGCCCGCGGGGCGGCCCGCUUCAUAAGCAAGGACCAGCUUUGUUUUGUGUUCUUCAAAGUAUCCCCAGUGCUUCACAUAACACAGAGUCUGCUGCAUAGUAGGACUUCAGUUUAUGUGUCUCAAAUAUGGGUGUGUCAUUGGCUUCAAGGGAGAGACCACUACCCCAGGAUCAAGAGAAUCCAGGGGCAGGUUCCAGCAAGACCACCAUCACGGACACCACCUCCAUGGCCUCCCACUUCCCAUGCAGGUUAUCCAGCAGACUAGGGGCAAAGAGCUGAAGGGUGGGCAUCCAUCUCUGGUGCGUUUACAGACCCGAGAGCGGGGGGCAGAGGGGGUGGGGAUCAGUGAGAAGGCUUCAGAGAGGACCUGGAGUCCGAGACUACGUAUCAUUAUGUAAGCACAGUGAGCCAAUUUAUUCUCCCUCCAAGGAGAGUAGCAUUCUAAACAGGGGUGACUCACCCUCAGAUUCGCAUUUUAGGAAGAUUACUUGGGCUGCCAGAAUGACUGGUGGGGCGACGAUGCUCAGAUUCCUGUCUGUCCAGUACCUCCUCUGUGUUUUUCCCCAUGUUAACCUUACUGCCUGAACGAUUUCCUCCUUAACCUUUUUUAUUUAAAUGGACUCCCUGCUUCUUUUAAUUGAAAUAGUCUUAUUAAAGGUAAUUUUUCAUUGAAGUAGAGUUGAUUUGCAAUAUUGUGUUAGUUUCAGUGUACAGCAAAGUGAUUUGGUUUAUAUAUACCCAUUCUUAAAAAAGAAUAUAUAUAUUCUUGUACAUCUAUGUAUAUACAAUCUUUUUUAAUUCUUUUCCAUUAUAGGUUAUUACAAGAUAUUGACUACAAUCCCCUGUGUUGUACAGUAAGUCCUUGUUGUUUAUCUAUCUUAUAUAUGGUACUGUGUGUCUGUUAAUUCCAUACUCCUAAUUUAUCCUCCCCCUGCAAAGGUAAUUUUUUUAAACAGAAGUACCAGGGAUUGAACCCAGGACCUGGAGCAUGCUAGGCAAGCACUCUACCACUGAGCAAUUUCCCUUCC